RNAcentral lists this ribosomal RNA (492 nucleotides) under uncultured bacterium. Its description in RNAcentral is "partial 16S ribosomal RNA". It matches the Rfam family "Bacterial small subunit ribosomal RNA", at positions 29 to 507 of the family's 1533-position model. The record is from RNAcentral.
AGUGAACGCUGGCGGUAGGCCUAACACAUGCAAGUCGAACGGCAGCACAGUAAGAGCUUGCUCUUACGGGUGGCGAGUGGCGGACGUGUGAGGAAUACAUCGUAAUCUACUUUUUCGGGGAGGUUAAGGAAGGGAAACUUACGCUAAUACCGCAUACGCCCUACGGUUGAGAGCAUGGGAACUUCUGGCCUUGCGCGAUUGGAUGAGCCGAUGUCGGAUUAGCUGGUUGGCGGGGUAAAGGCCCACCAAGGCGACGAUCCGUAGCUGGUGUGAGUGGAUGGUAGGCGACACUGGAACUGAGACACGGUCCAGAGUACUAAGGGAGGCAGCAGUGGGGAAUAUUGGACAAUGGGCGCAAGCAUUGUACAGCCAUACCGCGUGGGUGAAGACGGCGUUCGGGUUGUAAAGCCCUUUUGUUGGGAAAGAAAAGCAGCAGGUUAAUACCACGCUGUUCUGACGGUACCCAAAGAAUAAGCACCGGCUAACUUCGUG